This 368-nucleotide unclassified non-coding RNA is filed under the name soil metagenome. RNAcentral describes it as "partial contains 5.8S ribosomal RNA, internal transcribed spacer 2, and large subunit ribosomal RNA". The stretch from base 1 to 120 matches the Rfam family "5.8S ribosomal RNA", at positions 35 to 154 of the family's 154-position model. The record is from RNAcentral.
GAUGAAGAACGUAGCGAAAUGCGAUAAGUAAUGUGAAUUGCAGAAUUCAGUGAACCAUCGAAUCUUUGAACGCACAUUGCGCCCAGCAGUAAUCUGCUGGGCAUGCCUGUCCGAGCGUCAUUUCUGCCCUCGAGCUAGUCCAGCAUCUAGGUGCUGGACCUGCCCGGUGUUGGGGCACUACGGGAAGCCUCGUGCUAUCCCCCGUAGGCCCCGAAAUGAAGUGGCGGUCCUGCCGCGGCGCCCCCUGCGUAGUAUUACAGCUCGCUUCGGGACCCGGUGGAGGCCUGCCGUCAAACCUUACUCUCUAAGUUUGACCUCGGAUCAGGUAGGGUUACCCGCUGAACUUAAGCAUAUCAAUAAGCGGAGGA